Molecule: non-coding RNA, 22 nt
Filed under: Arabidopsis thaliana (thale cress)
Lineage: Eukaryota; Viridiplantae; Streptophyta; Magnoliopsida; Brassicales; Brassicaceae
Source: RNAcentral
CCAACACCUGGAAUCAUGGUCC